AUUGAACGCUGGCGGCAGGCCUAACACAUGCAAGUCGAGCGAGAAAGGUCUUCGGACUGAGUACAGCGGCGGACGGGUGAGUAAAGCGUAGGAAUCUACCUGGUAGUGGGGGGAUAACUUGGGGAAACUCAAACUAAUACCGCAUACGCCCUACGGGGAAAGCGGGGGACCGUUCGGGCCUCGCGCUAUCAGAUGAGCCUGCGUAGGAUUAGCUAGUUGGUGAGGUAAAGGCUCACCAAGGCGACGAUCCUUAGCUGGUCUGAGAGGAUGAUCAGCCACACUGGGACUGAGACACGGCCCAGACUCCUACGGGAGGCAGCAGUGGGGAAUAUUGCGCAAUGGGCGAAAGCCUGACGCAGCCAUGCCGCGUGUGUGAAGAAGGCCUUAGGGUUGUAAAGCUCUUUUGUCCGGAAAGAAAAGCAUCUGGUUAAUACCCGGGUGUUCUGACGGUACCGGAAGAAUAAGCACCGGCCAACUUCGUG
Molecule: ribosomal RNA, 482 nt
Filed under: uncultured bacterium
Lineage: Bacteria
Description: bacterial SSU rRNA
Rfam family: Bacterial small subunit ribosomal RNA
Source: RNAcentral